CAUUGGCUCAACCAANGUAUGCUUUGGAAACUGUUAGACUUGAGUGCAGAAGGGGAGAGUGGAAUUCCAUGUGUAGCGGUGAAAUGCGUAGAUAUAUGGAGGANCACCGGUGGCGAAAGCCGCUCUCUGGUCUGUCACUGACGCUGAGGCUCGAAAGCGUGGGUAGCGAACAGGAUUAGAUACCCUGGUAGUNCACGCCGUAAACGCUGAGUGCUAGGUGUUAGGUCCUUUCCGGGACUUAGUGCCGACGCUAACGCAUUAAGCACUCCGCCUGGGGAGUACGACCGCAAGGUUGAAACUCAAAGGAAUUGACGGGGGCCCGCACAAGCGGUGGAGCAUGUGGUUUAAUUCGAAGCAACGCGAAGAACCUUACCAGGUCUUGACAUCCCGAUGCCCGCUCUAGAGAUAGAGUUUUUCUUCGGAACAUCGGAGACAGGUGGUGCAUGGUUGUCGUCAGCUCGUGUCGUGAGAUGUUGGGUUAAGUCCCGCAACGAGCGCAACCCUUAUUGUUAGUUGCCAUCAUUAAGUUGGGCACUCUAGCGAGACUGCCGGUAAUAAACCGGAGGAAGGUGGGGAUGACGUCAAAUCAUCAUGCCCCUUAUGACCUGGGCUACACACGUGCUACAAUGGUUGGUACAGCGAGUCGCAAGCCGGUGACGGCAAGCUAAUCUCUGAAAGCCAAUCUCAGUUCGGAUUGUAGGCUGCAACUCGCCUACAUGAAGUCGGAAUCGCUAGUAAUCGCGGAUCAGCACGCCGCGGUGAAUACGUUCCCGGGCCUUGUACACACCGCCCGUCACACCACGAGAGUUUGUAACACCCAAAGUCGGUGAGGUAACCAUUUAUGGGGCCAGCCGCCUAAGGUGGGANG
Molecule: ribosomal RNA, 868 nt
Filed under: uncultured bacterium
Lineage: Bacteria
Description: bacterial SSU rRNA
Rfam family: Bacterial small subunit ribosomal RNA
Source: RNAcentral